Dreissena polymorpha is the source of this 3658-nucleotide long non-coding RNA. RefSeq lists it as uncharacterized. Lineage: Eukaryota; Metazoa; Mollusca; Bivalvia; Myida; Dreissenidae. The record is from RefSeq and is a predicted model, not a curated record. The transcript is spliced from 3 exons.
GUUGACAAAACACACAAAAUAUUGAUAACAUGUUUUAAUGGGAUUUUAUUAAGUGCAAAAGACAUGUACAUUUAUAAAAAAAAAUUCAAAACAUUUGGUUAACAUCUUUUGUGGUGAAAAAGUGAUUACAUCUGACAGAACGGCCCUACUCAUUUAUAAAACUUGAACCCUUUCCCUAUGCAAUGCAAACAAAACUGUUGCCAUAACUUAACAUCUAAAAUUUGAGGAAAAAUUUUCAUUUAGGCUUCAUUAUCCCCACGCUUUUCGGAGAAAAAGUGGGGAUAUUGUGGUUAUCUCCAUCUUCCGUCUGUCCAUCUGUCCGUCCGUCCUGGCCACUUUCUCCUCCUACACUAUAAGCACUAGAACCUUGAAACUUACACACAUGGUAGCUAUGAGCAUAUGUGCGACCCUGCACUAUUUGGAAUUUUGAUCUGACCCCAGGGUCAAAAGUUAUGUGGGUUGAGUUGGGGCCGGGUCAGAGAUUUUUACUCAUUUUUAUGCCCCCGGAUCGAAAGAUCGGGGGUAUAUUGUUUUUGGCCUGUCUGUCAUUGUAUGUGUGUGUGUGUGUGUGUCCCAAAACUUUAACCUUGGUCAUAACUUUUGCAAUAUUCAAGAUAGCAACUUGAUAUUUGGCAUGCAUGUGUAUCUCAUGGAGCUGCACAUUUUAAGUGCACCGGAGACUACACCGAAUGUCUUCAAAUUGAUACUGAACCUCUCUUAUGGCAAUACGGAUAAUCUCAACUAUGCAUGGCCCCAUUACCAACCCUGGGGUGCCCCGCCCACAUUGGCCACGCCCACAUAGACCACGCCCACCCAAAAUUGCCUUUUACUAUAAUUUCUUCAUUUCUACACAGAUUCACUUCAAAUUGAUACUGAACCUCUCUUAUGACAUUAUGGUUAAUCUCAACUAUGCAUGGCCCCAUUACCAACCCUGGGGCACCCGGCCCACAUAGGCCACGCCCACCCAAAAUUGCCUUUUACUAUAAUUUCUUCAUUUCUACACCAAUUCACAUCUAAUUGAUACCGAACUUUUCUUAAGACAAUACGUUCAAUCUCAACUAUGCAUAGCCCCAUUACCAACCCUGGGGCACCCCUGGGUCAAACAUGCGGCGUGGGGAUACACGUCGGCCUCUGCCGCGCCAUUUCUAGUUAUUUUUGAAAUCACCCAUAUUUGUGUAAAGUUUGGAGAAAAAUCAAGAAAAACAUAUUUAACAAUGAAAUACAUUUAAGUUGUUUGAUGAUAUUUUCAUGUUUUUCAACUUUUCCAAUGUCCAGAUAAAUACCCUAUUUGUACCCAUUGAAAACCUUUAAAACUUUAAUUUUGCAUUGUUGUUUUGUGUUUGGCUUGAAGAAAAAAGAUUGAUCUGUAUGCAAAUGUUUACAUUAUAUCUCACAAUCAUAACAAUUUCCAAUUUAUCGACAGUGGUGACCGGGUUUUAUCAUUAUAAUAUGAUUAUUAGUGCUUGUGAUCAUAUUUCAGAUGCCCAGGGGCCUUUAUGGUUGGGUUAGGGAGGGAUGCUCCCUUCCUUCCUUAAUUGAUUUUUUGCUCCACUGGCCAAAGGCCAGCGGGGCUUAUGUCAUGGUCCUGUGUCCGCCAUGCGUGCGUCCGUCCGUGCCUGCGUGCGUCCGUCCGUGCAUUAACUUUUCCUUUAAACAUCUUCUUCUCCUAAACUACUGGUCCAAUUCUGAUGAAAAUUCUCAGUAAUGUUCCUUGGAUGAACCUAUUUCAAAUUUGUUCAAAUUAUGGGCCUGGGGUCAAAUUUGACCCUGCUCUGGGGUUACAAAAUUGAACAUAUGCUUAUAUAAGGCCUAUUUUGUGAAAUCUUUCAAAAUCUUCUCAUCCAUAAAUAUUGGGCAUAGGGCUAUCAAAUUUGGUAUGUAGAGACAUCUUAUAGUCCUCUACCAAAUUUGUUCAAAUUAUGCUCCUAGGGUCAAAUUUGAAACUGCCCCGAGGGUCACAAAAUUUAACAUAUGCUUAUAUAGGGUCUAUUUUGUGAAAACUUUACAGAUCUUUUUGUCCAUAACCGUUGGGCCUAGGGCUACCAAAUUUGGUAUGUCGUGACAUCUUAUAGUCCUCUACCAAGUUUGCUCAAAUUAUGUCCCUGGGGUCAAGUUUGACCCUGCUCUGGGGUUACAAAAUUGAACAUAUGCUUAUAUAAGGCCUAUUUUGUGAAAUCUUUCAAAAUCUACUUGUUCAUAACUGUAUGGCAUAGUGCUACCAAAUUUGGUAUGUAUUGACAUGUAUUAGUUCUCUUCUUAGUUUGUUCAAAUUAUGCCCCUGGGGUCAAAUUUAUAACUGCCCCGAGGGUCACAAAAUUGAACAUAUGCUUAUAAAUGGCUAAUUUAGGGUAAACUUUAAAAAUCAUUCUUGUCCAUAACCAUUGGGCCUAGGGCUACCAAAUUUGGUAUGAAGUGACAUCUUAUAGUCCUCUACCAAGUUUGUUCAAAUUAUGCCUCUGGGGUCAACUUUGACCCUGCCCGGGGGGGGGGGGGGGGGGUCACAAAAUUGAAUAAACGCUUAUAAAGCGCCUAUUUUGUGAAAAUUAAAAAAAAAUUUUGUUGAAAACCAUUCGGACUAUGGCUACCAAAUUUGGUUUGCAGUAACAUCUUAUUGUCCUCUACCAAGUUUGUUCAAAUUAUGCCCUUUGGGUCAAAUUUGACCCUGACCCGCGGGUCACAAAAUUGAACAUUAUAUACACUUCUUGCUUGCUUAUUUUGUGAAAACUUUUAAAAUAUUCUUGUCCUUAACUCUAGGAUCUAGGGCUACCACAUUUUGUAUGUAGUGAGAUAUAGUAGUUCUCUAUGUGUCCAAUAAUUAUGUUGAUGAAGGUGGCAGUGGUAAUGACUUGAUAUGUCUGUGAGAUAUGAAUGCCAAAGUCUUCGUUUUACAUAACAUGAAUUUUUAUGUAAAAGUGGUGGUUCUUCAUAAAUUCUACAUGUUCUUUGCAAAUGACCUCUACAAAGUUGUUCCAGGAGUACCAUAUUGUCUGACAAUCUUUUGUUUUAUUGUUAACUUAAACUGUACUUGAUUCUAGCAUGCCACUUUACUUCUUUGAAGUAAUUUGAGCAAAUUUCUCACUGUUUAGUAAUGUAUACAUUGUUUAAGGUACAUUAUAAUUUAUAAUUGUAGGUGGACUUCAAUAUGUAUGAUCUACUUAUGCUGCCACAAUGUAAAGGCAACAAUCACUGGGUUUUGCUGGUUGCAAGUGUUAUGUCCAGGACUGUAUUCAUUUACGACUCGUUGGGUGGUAACAACAAGGCCUUGCUCGAUUUGUUCUGCCAGUUAAUGUGUCAACGAGCGCAAAUUGUGAAAGGUGGCUUGGAAAAAUUCAGUUCAGAGUUCAAAGCGCCACCUUGCAACAAACAGCGCCAUGGAAACAGCUGUGGAGUGUUUGCAUUGAUGACUGCCAAAUGUUUGGUCAUGAAAAAGCAUCCCACAAUGUUGCGACAGGCCAAUGAUUCAGUUUAUCGAGACUAGUCCUGAGACGCAGACUUCUGAUUCAUGGAGUGCGGCAAACAUAUCUGUGCGACUCGAUCACUUCACUGUAAAGACCCGCACGACAUUAAAAUGGAAAUUAUCAAUAUGUGUUGUUUCUCGAAAAUAUGUUUUUGUAGCAGGAAGUGCUUUGGGCUCGAUUAAUCUGAGAACUCAACAAAA